GCGACAACCUUCCCAGUCUCAACGUCAACAUGGUGAACACCAUUGGAAUGCAGAGCCUCUCCUGGGCUCAUCAGUAGCAUGUUAGUCUCGCCGCGCAUCAGCAGUGCCUUCUUCGGCGUCGAAUAAGCGCUCCCACUGCCGCCACGGCCUCCCGAGAUCUUCACCGACGCGCCCUUCCCGUGCAAGCCGUGGCGGAAGUUCUUGACCACCUGUAUCCCGGCGCCGCCGACUAAGAAGCUGUUGUCAAGCGCCCCAAGCGCGAGGCUCUGGAUGCUGUCGCCGUCGCCGGCCUCCUCCUCGAACUCCUUAAGCAGGUCCUUCCCUGGUGCUGCGGCGGGAGGGGUGAGGCUUUCCUCCGCGUCGGCCCAAACAGUGUCGUCGGCCUCGGCAGGCCGCGCCCACGCGGCGAAGUCGGCGCCGAACACCUCCUUCCGCCCUUCGUCCGUGGCCUCCACUCCGUACGUGUUCUCGAAAAGACAGCGCUCGUACUCCACCCUGAACCGGCGCAAUUCGGCGUCGGUGGGUAGUCGCAGAGCCCAUACGGACCCGCUCGCGGCGAAGUCCGCCCGGCGCUGCGCGGGGAUCGUCUUCAGCUGGAGCGCCGAGUCCACGGGCGCGGAGACCCGCGGCCCCGGCCCAACCUCUAGGAACCACCUGGGGGAGGAGGCGUCGUCGCUCGACUGGUCGACGAAUGCGUAGGUCGCGCGGCGCUCGGCGGGCACCCAGCGCGCGGAAGGCGAGGCCCCGCCGACGUGGAGGUAGAGCUUGGCGGCGGUAGGUCUCUGGUACUUGAGAUCCAGCGACCUGAGCUUGGCGUCGAUGGCCUCAAGCGAGGAAGGUGUGGCGGUGCGGAGGAGGUCGUCGUCGCGCUGCCCCGCGCUCGCUGCGGCCUCCGCGAUGGGUGAUCGGGCGUCAUAGUCGUCCUCGAAUUCCUCCUCUUCGUCGGAGGAGGUGAGAUCGACGUCCUCGCGGCUGUGGGAGCCGCCCAUGACGGUUGCGGUGGAGGGGAAUUUAACUCCGGAAUUGCGAGCCGGCGAUCCGGGGCGCGGUGCGGGAAAGGAGAUCGUGAAUUGGUGAUGGAGGCGGGGAAAGUGAGGUCGGAGCGGCGGGGAGCGUGUAUUUGUACGCUGCGGGCCGGGGAUUGCUGAUGAGGGCAGGGGAUGGUCGGUGCGUGUGGCGGACGCGACGCGCUCCACGCGCCGGGGACGGCGAGGCCGAGCAGGUUCCUUCGUGAAGGGGGCGAACUACGAUGAUUGGUGUUGAGUUUGAUGAGAGAGAGGUGACUAGGAAAGCCCAUAGUGGGUGUUGGGCCCGGACUUGGAGAAAGCAGGGUUGCUAAUGGGCAUAUGGCCCGAGGAGCCAAAAGGCCCACGCGAGUGUACGACUCAACUCACACAAUCAGCCCCAUAUAUGGCCCGGCCUCCUACUCCUACGGUCCCACCCGGUCUCCAGAACAGACAACCCGUCCUUCUCCUUCCCAUCGGCUCCACACAACCAGAAGGUUCUUCGCUUCACUCUGCCCUGCGCCGCCGCCAACGCUGCAGCCGCAGUUGCCGCAGGCGGGAACUUGGACGUGCUACUCGCGACUGCUCUCAUCUGUUCCCGCGUAGGAUUCGUUCACAAUGGCCCGUGUGUAUGUCGGCAACUUGGAUGCACGCGUGACUUCCGGGGAACUCGAAGAUGAGUUCCGUGUGUUUGGAGUUCUGCGAAGUGUUUGGGUCGCACGCAAACCACCUGGUUUUGCAUUUAUUGAUUUUGACGACAGGAGGGAUGCAGAGGAUGCUAUUCGUGAUCUAGAUGGUAAGAAUGGAUGGAAAGUUGAACUAUCUCGUAGCACCAAUGGUCGUGGCAGUCGUGAUCGGCAUGGUGGAUCUGAGUCAAAGUGCUAUGAGUGUGGUGAGACUGGGCACUUUGCACGUGAAUGUCGUCUGCGCAUUGGCUCUGGAGGUCUAGGCAGUGGAAGACGUCGCAGCAGGAGCAGGAGCCGCAGUCGCAGCCCUAGAUACCGCAGGAGUCCGAGCUAUAAUAGAAGGAGCUAUAGCCCUCGUUAUCGUUCUCCAAGGCGCCGUACUCCUUCACCGGCUCGUGGACGCAGCUAUAGCAGGUCGCCAUAGUACAACUGUGACAAAUAUGCAUCUCCCUCGUUAACGGAGUAAUGAUGGCAGAUACUGGUGUAGCAGGAGCUUGGCCUGAAGCCCGUGCCUGAUUCUUCUCUGUGUGAGGACUUGGUUCUUGGUUUGGCUGUGGGGAACAAAUUUGGAACUGUCGUCAACUGCAUGACUUCAGUUCAGGCAUGUUCUGCUUAAACGACUCGGCCAACUACGGCUCUCAGUUGUAGUCUUCAUGGUUUUGUUCCUCCAUUCUUGGCACGUCCUUAUCUGCAAAUGAAUGUCAACCUUCCAUUACUAUCUGCCUGCGAUGUUUCAUCAUGAAAUUCUUCACCAAAGAUGCUACUUCGUCACAAAUUAGUAACAUUCUUUCCCCCAUAUAGUUGAUAUGGUUUGAGUGUACUGAGCACUAACAAUUGCAGCUCAUGAAAAUAAGGCCCUUGAUUUUUGUCAUAGAACAAGAGCGGCUAUUUUAAUUGCAGCACUCACAUGAAAAUAAAUCUACUCUGCAUGCCGGGGAUUGAGGCGACUGAAGUGUGAGCCUUCAGCUGCACGUAGUUGGCCAUCCAAGGAACCUAGUCAGGCUGAUUUCAGCAAGAGGCGCAGCCUACGACUGAACUUGGUUUUAUUUUUUGUGGUUUUGAUUCUUCACUUCUUCCUUGUGUUCUGCCUUCACUGCAUCUUAUUGGUAGUGGUCGAAUAAUGCUUCUGUAUGUGGUAAAUCAUUCUUGGUACAAUGGCUCUCUUUUUUCUGCUGAUCAAUGUAUGUAGGAAUUUCUGAUAGUCGCCGUUAAUUGUAGUAUAAAUAUGUUUCCUCUGCAAGAUAAUUGUAAUUAUAUGUGAAUACUCUCAGAAAACAUAGAUUUGAGGUAUAAUCUGCUCUUGGCAAA
Molecule: non-coding RNA, 2998 nt
Organism: Zea mays
Lineage: Eukaryota; Viridiplantae; Streptophyta; Magnoliopsida; Poales; Poaceae
Source: RefSeq, a predicted model, not a curated record